UCCUCCUUAGCUCAGCUGGUUAGAGCAUCUGACUGUUAAUCAGAGGGUCCUUGGUU
Transfer RNA from Rhodonellum psychrophilum GCM71 = DSM 17998, 56 nucleotides. It matches the Rfam family "tRNA", at positions 1 to 53 of the family's 71-position model. From Rfam's summary of the family: Transfer RNA (tRNA) molecules are approximately 80 nucleotides in length. Their secondary structure includes four short double-helical elements and three loops (D, anti-codon, and T loops). NCBI's taxonomy places the organism in Bacteria, Pseudomonadati, Bacteroidota, Cytophagia, Cytophagales, Cytophagaceae. The record is from Rfam.